Long non-coding RNA from Hyposmocoma kahamanoa, 290 nucleotides. RefSeq lists it as uncharacterized. The transcript is spliced from 3 exons. Lineage: Eukaryota; Metazoa; Arthropoda; Insecta; Lepidoptera; Cosmopterigidae. The record is from RefSeq and is a predicted model, not a curated record.
AGCCAGCACAACGCAGUUCGCUCCGUUGUUUUGUUUACAGAAUGAAACACGCAGUGUCCUACACCAUAACGGAGCAUGCCUCAACUGCCCUAUCACGAAAACCGCAGCGAUAACAAUGAAGAUAUCGGCCGCCGUACACCAAUGCUAUGAGUCGAAACCAGCGCGACUACGAAGUGGCGGAGGCAACAGGACGUUCCAUAUCUUCGCUGCGGUGAACUUGAAACUGCCACGGAAUGCAGCGGUAUGGUGGCGUGGUACUACCAUCGUCCAGUUCAACGUUCUGGUGAAGG